Molecule: long non-coding RNA, 2489 nt
Organism: Nerophis ophidion (straightnose pipefish)
Lineage: Eukaryota; Metazoa; Chordata; Actinopteri; Syngnathiformes; Syngnathidae
Exons: 6
Source: RefSeq, a predicted model, not a curated record
GACGGGCCGAGUAUCUGAAGUAGCGUGGUCUCCUCUUCCAGCUGUUUUGUUGAUUUUGACAAAAAUGACGUCGGGGUUAAUGUGAAAGAACGAGACAACAUUACAGCUCGACCCGGACAGCUUAAAGUCACAGAUCAAGCCUGGCUCCAUGCCCCCAGGGACCAGACUUGCCUCCCAAACACGGACAACCUACACAAGUUUUUUGGACAUAAAAUGGAAGGUCAGAUGCAGUCCUCCAUGAUACCCUUUACUCUGUUGGAGCUGGUGACGCUGUCUCGCUGUCUGAGGCCUACCCAGAGACCAAAAGACCACAUCGUGAGGAGUAUAUGGCGGACUUCCACAGUUGGACUCGGAGCCUACCCAGCUGUCAGCGGGGAGACAUCUGGACAUCCUGACAAAGCUCCUUUGCGGGGCAAGAACCAGACUUGAAGAAAAUAAUUAGGGUCCACCUGCUGAACACUCAUGGUGUAGAGGGCAUAGAUGGAGGCGGUAUCUUUUGGGAGGUCCUCUAUAAGCUCCAAAAGUCACGCUGCAACCCCAACCAGGGCGUCUUCAGGACCCCCAACCCCAUCGCCAAGAUGCUGGUGGGAGAAUCCUUCACGCGACACUACUACUUCCUGGGCAGGAUCCUGAGAAAGGUGGUGGAGCUGAAGACGGGGGGCAAAGACCUCGACUACAGCCUCGACAAGCAGAUCCGGCCGCGCUGCCUGGCAUUCAGGCAGGGUCGAGCCAACUUGGACAACCUUUAGUAGUUCAAUCAAUCAAUCAAUCAAUGAUUAUUUAUAUAGCCCUAAAUCACUAGUGUCUCAAAGGGCUGCACAAACCACAACGACAUCCUCGGUAGAGCUCACAUGAGGGCGAGGAAAACUCACACCCAGUGGGACGUCGGUGACAAUGAUGACUAUGAGAAACCUUGGAGAGGACCGAAAGCAAAGUUGACCACGUUCUCAAGCUGGGCUUUAAGGUAUGACCUCCAAAGUGUCUUCUCUUUGUGUCGCUGUCCUCUUAAGUCGGGGGUCGGCAACUUUACUCCCUGGAGAUUUUUCAAAAUUAUAUAAAAAAGGGGGGCAGCACGGUGGUACAGGAGUUAGUGCAUGUGCCUCACAAUACAAAGGUCCUGAGUAGUCCUGAGUUCAAUCCCGGGCUCGGGAUCUUUCUGAAUGAAGUUUGCAUGUUCUACCCGUAACUGCGUGGGUUCUCUCCAGUUACUCCGGCUUCUUCCCACCUCCAAAGACAUGCACCUGGGGAUAGGUUGAUUGGCAACACUAAAUGGUCCCUAGUGUGUGAAUGUGGUCUAUCUGUGUUGGCCCUGUGAUUAGGUGGCGACUUGUCCAGGGUGUACCCCGCCUACCGCCCGAAUGCAGCUAAGAUAGGCUCCAGCGACCCCCACGUGACCCCAAAAGGGACAAGCGAUAGAAAAUGGAUGGAUGGAUGGAAAAAUAUGGUGGGGGAAGUAUAUUUCUGUUUUCAUAUGGUUUGUUUAGGAAGACAAACAUGACACAAACCUUUCUAUGUGUUAGAAAUCCCACUGUUUAUUUUAACAUGCUUCACUGACGAGAGUAUUUGGCAAGCGCCGUUUUGUCCUACUAAUUUCGGCGGCCCUUGAACUCACUGUAGUUUGUUUACACCAGGGGUGUCCAAAGUGCGGCCCGCAGGUCAUUUUUUUAGGCCCCAUGGCCCAUUUUGAAAAUACAAUUGAAAAAAAUUAAAAACAUAAAAAGUGGUAUAAAAGAGAAAACAGGUGAAAUGUAACAAGAAAAUGUCGCAAUGCUUUACUAACACGAAGCUGCCAUGCAGGCUGUUUCUUUCUUUAAAGAAAUCAUAAUGAAUCAAAAUCAGUCAUUUUGAAUUAUUGACCUAUUCAAGGCUUCAAUUACGUCACAAUAAAUAUUCCACUUUGAGAUAUUUUUGGGGGAAAAUGUUGCCUAUUUUGUGUUUUGCUUUACAAAAAACUGAGUUGUUUUUUUAAAGAAGGGCCUAAAACAAACAAACAAAAAACAUAAACAAUAAAACUUAAAAUUGACGAAUAUAUCUGAAGUUGAUCUCGAGAUUAUUGUGCUAAAAGUAAACCGUUAAAAAAAUAUAUACAUAAUGUAUUUUUUAACACUUUAAUGAGUAGGACACUUUUGAAUCCCCAAUUAGUUUAGUGUGAUUUGUUAAGUGUCAUUGCUCAAAAAAUAAUAAUGAAUCAAAAUCCAAAAUUAAGGCUCCAAUUAUUAUAUAAUCUCAAAUAUUCCACCUAAAAAAUGUUAUUGGGUGAAAAUAUUGCAUAGUUUGUGUUUUUAAAUUUUUUUUUCCUAAUGUUGAUCUAGGGAUUUAAAACUUGAAUAAUAAUGAAAAUAAUAUUACUGAAUAAUUACACAUUUUUAACUUUUUUUUUUACCAAAACCCUUUGGGGUCCCCGGGAUCAUAACUGAGUGGAAGCCAAAAUGUAUAUUUUCUAUACAUAUAUUGUAUUGGUUUUUAAAAUAAAAAAUAUGAAAAUGGCA